Molecule: long non-coding RNA, 484 nt
Filed under: Helianthus annuus (common sunflower)
Lineage: Eukaryota; Viridiplantae; Streptophyta; Magnoliopsida; Asterales; Asteraceae
Description: sRNA HanXRQr2_Chr10g0457441
Source: RNAcentral
GGUGUCCAGUUGAAAUUUGUGAUAUUGCUGUUAGGUAGGCUGCAAGUAUUACUUAAUUGCAGAAAAUUGGUCACCUAUAUGUUUUGAAGAAUAACUAAUUUUAAUAUAUGUAGCUCAGUUACUAUUUUAGAUAUUUAAAACUAACACUUAAAUGUUUGACUUACUUUGCAAUGUUGUGUGCUAUUGUAGAUGAACAAUCCAAGAUUUUUCCAAGCGAUAAAGACUUGGUGAGGCAAAACAUUUUUCUUUCUAUAGCGAGUUCCUCCAUUGUUGAGGGCAUAUUUGGGUGAGUGUCUCAAUAUAAUGAUACAUGCUGAUUUACGGAACAAUGGUCGGUUUUUUUUGCAUCGGGUGACAUAUAAUUUGCAAGUUCAGCGACAAAUAUAUGGAUCACUUUUUGUGCUUAGAAUAAAGAUGAAUUUUAGUUGAACUAUACAUUUGGAGAACUUAAAUCAACGGAUGGUAUGAACCCGCUAGAUGUUGU